GACGAACCGUGCGAACGUUGUUCGGAAUCACUGGGCUUAAAGGGCGCGUAGGCGGGCGAUCAAGUCGGGGGUGAAAUCUUUCGGCUCAACCGGAAAAUAGCCUUCGAUACUGGUCGUCUGGAGGGGGGUAGGGGCGUGUGGAACUUCCGGUGGAGCGGUGAAAUGCGUUGAUAUCGGAAGGAACUCCGGUGGCGAAAGCGACACGCUGGAUCUCACCUGACGCUGAGGCGCGAAAGCCAGGGGAGCGAACGGG
RNAcentral lists this ribosomal RNA (253 nucleotides) under uncultured bacterium. Its description in RNAcentral is "partial 16S ribosomal RNA". It matches the Rfam family "Bacterial small subunit ribosomal RNA", at positions 524 to 776 of the family's 1533-position model. The record is from RNAcentral.